Molecule: long non-coding RNA, 676 nt
Filed under: Heterocephalus glaber (naked mole-rat)
Lineage: Eukaryota; Metazoa; Chordata; Mammalia; Rodentia; Bathyergidae
Description: lncRNA (ENSHGLG00100041365.1)
Source: RNAcentral
GGAUGCCCUUACUGAUGUAUGUCCCUAAGUCAGUGAGAUUCUACAGUGGGCAAGUGAAGGAGGGGGACAAAUUUAUGAGGGCUCAACCCACACCCAGAGCGUGUCUGUGGGGCAUAUGAUGGACCUAUCCCAGGAACUGAUGGAAUAGAGAUGGCUGUGUUGCAUCAUCCUCCUGAUUGCUGGGGAACAUCUCCCAGCAUUUGAGCGAUUGGAGAGAAGACUAUGGGGCACAAAAUGGCCUCAUCCGGUUUACAUCUUCAUUACUGUGCUUCUCACAUACCUGCUUACAUCUGGAAAAAAUCUCCAGGAUAAUUUUUGAGGGAAGAAGGAGAUGAAAAGGGCAUUACUCUGCCAUCUUCAAAACCAUGCUGUAUUUAAAGAGUUUUCAAAAUUGAUUGCUCAGAGAGCUUUGAAGAAUGAUCCCAGCCUCCAAGGAGUUUAUAUUCCUAAGCACAGCCUCUUCAAUUUUGGGAUACUUUCCAAUGAGAGGUGAUGGAUAGCUGCUCAAAGAAGAGGAGUUGUUUGGGUUAAAUGAGAUAUUAGACAUUUGGAGUGUUGAUCAACACAGGGCAUUUCUAACCAGCCCAUGAAGACAGAGAAGUCAGAACAAACAUCUGUCUUUUGUGAAAAUUAUUCCUUGACCUUUGGUUCUGUUGGUUUUCUUAUCCCUAAAAAG